RNAcentral lists this ribosomal RNA (385 nucleotides) under Navicula cryptocephala. Its description in RNAcentral is "partial 18S ribosomal RNA". It matches the Rfam family "Eukaryotic small subunit ribosomal RNA", at positions 582 to 971 of the family's 1831-position model. Lineage: Eukaryota; Bacillariophyta; Bacillariophyceae; Naviculales; Naviculaceae. The record is from RNAcentral.
AUUCCAGCUCCAAUAGCGUAUAUUAAAGUUGUUGCAGUUAAAAAGCUCGUAGUUGGAUCUGUGGCGUGUGGCGUGUUCCGGGCACUUGUUGUCCGAGCAGCAUGCUGCUGCCAUCCUUGGGGGGAACCUGUGUGGCAUUAGGUUGUCGUGCAGGGGAUGCCCAUCCUUUACUGUGAAAAAAUUAGAGUGUUCAAAGCAGGCUUAUGCCGUUGAAUAUAUUAGCAUGGAAUAAUGAGAUAGGACUUUUUCGCUAUUUUGUUGGUUUGCGCGAAGAGGUAAUGAUUAAUAGGGACAGUUGGGGGUAUUCGUAUUCCAUUGUCAGAGGUGAAAUUCUUGGAUUUUUGGAAGACGAACUACUGCGAAAGCAUUUACCAAGGAUGUUUUC